UCACCGGGUAGACAGAAGUUA
This 21-nucleotide microRNA is filed under the name Panagrellus redivivus. RNAcentral describes it as "prd-miR-35a-3p". Its record names the gene prd-miR-35a-3p. Lineage: Eukaryota; Metazoa; Nematoda; Chromadorea; Rhabditida; Panagrolaimidae. The record is from miRBase by way of RNAcentral.